This 1215-nucleotide ribosomal RNA is filed under the name Enterococcus faecalis. RNAcentral's name for it is "bacterial SSU rRNA". The stretch from base 431 to 1215 matches the Rfam family "Bacterial small subunit ribosomal RNA", at positions 1 to 764 of the family's 1533-position model. Lineage: Bacteria; Bacillati; Bacillota; Bacilli; Lactobacillales; Enterococcaceae. The record is from RNAcentral.
CGUGUGCAUGCCUGGUUCCAUGCGAAGCGGAUCAGCGUAAAUAUGCUACUUGGCAUGUCUCCGCUCUACGUCUCGCGACGUCAGGUUCGGAUUAUGCUAUGAGGGGAGAUCUAUCUAGCGUCCGUCUCGUGUGUGGAACAUUUUUCUCUGUCAACCUGGCUGGUAGGCGAGAACCACCAGCCGCAUUAUCUCGUUCUGCCGGAGAGGGGGUACUUCUCUUAUAGUCUGACACACUUUCGUCACACGAGUGUGUAUCAUGCUUGGGUAUACGACAUACUCGAGGGUUACUAUAUCUACAUGGCGGUGCAAGGCACUUUUUUUGUUUUACCGGGGGGUGUGUACACUCCCCCGGGGGGGUGUUCUCCGCGAUUGUCUGCGAUUUGAGAUUUUAGUGCAUUGCGAGUUCUACACAUACAGUUUGAAGUGACUUUUUUUUUUUUUUUUUUCGUCAGGACGAACGCUGGCGGCGUGCCUAAUACAUGCAAGUCGAACGCUUUUUCUUUCACCGGAGCUUGCUCCAUCGAAAGAAAAAGAGUGGCGAACGGGUGAGUAACACGUGGGUAACCUGCCCAUCAGAAGGGGAUAACACUUGGAAACAGGUGCUAAUACCGUAUAACACUAUUUUCCGCAUGGAAGAAAGUUGAAAGGCGCUUUUGCGUCACUGAUGGAUGGACCCGCGGUGCAUUAGCUAGUUGGUGAGGUAACGGCUCACCAAGGCAACGAUGCAUAGCCGACCUGAGAGGGUGAUCGGCCACACUGGGACUGAGACACGGCCCAGACUCCUACGGGAGGCAGCAGUAGGGAAUCUUCGGCAAUGGACGAAAGUCUGACCGAGCAACGCCGCGUGAGUGAAGAAGGUUUUCGGAUCGUAAAACUCUGUUGUUAGAGAAGAACAAGGAUGAGAGUAAAAUGUUCAUCCCUUGACGGUAUCUAACCAGAAAGCCACGGCUAACUACGUGCCAGCAGCCGCGGUAAUACGUAGGUGGCAAGCGUUGUCCGGAUUUAUUGGGCGUAAAGCGAGCGCAGGCGGUUUCUUAAGUCUGAUGUGAAAGCCCCCGGCUCAACCGGGGAGGGUCAUUGGAAACUGGGAGACUUGAGUGCAGAAGAGGAGAGUGGAAUUCCAUGUGUAGCGGUGAAAUGCGUAGAUAUAUGGAGGAACACCAGUGGCGAAGGCGGCUCUCUGGUCUGUAACUGACGCUGAGCUCGAAAAGAUCU